GGAUCCCAAUGGUGUGUUUUCUA
Molecule: non-coding RNA, 23 nt
Filed under: Arabidopsis thaliana (thale cress)
Lineage: Eukaryota; Viridiplantae; Streptophyta; Magnoliopsida; Brassicales; Brassicaceae
Source: RNAcentral